AGUGAAAUACCACUACUUU
This 19-nucleotide small nuclear RNA is filed under the name Arabidopsis thaliana (thale cress). Its description in RNAcentral is "snRNA_08850". The record is from RNAcentral. Lineage: Eukaryota; Viridiplantae; Streptophyta; Magnoliopsida; Brassicales; Brassicaceae.